GGCGCAAUGGCGAAGUAGCAAACGCAUCGGUCUGCAAAACCGACAUUCGCGGGUGCAAGUCCCGCUUGCGCCUCAA
RNAcentral lists this transfer RNA (76 nucleotides) under Candidatus Yanofskybacteria bacterium RIFCSPHIGHO2_01_FULL_39_8b. Its description in RNAcentral is "tRNA-Cys". It matches the Rfam family "tRNA". Rfam says of the family: Transfer RNA (tRNA) molecules are approximately 80 nucleotides in length. Lineage: Bacteria; Candidatus Yanofskyibacteriota. The record is from RNAcentral.